AUUGAACGCUGGCGGCAUGCUUUACACAUGCAAGUCGAGCGGCCGCACGGGCUUCGGCCUUCCGGCGAGUUACCGACGGGCGAGUAAUGCAUCGGAGCGUGCCCAGUCUAUAGGGCUAGCCCAACUAAAGCCGACUUAAUACCGCAUCCGACCUUAUGGUGAACGGCAUGGAUCAAAAGGCCACGCCCUAUUUGCUCUCCCUAUGUCGUAUUAGCUAGUUGGUUGGGUAAAGGCUUACCAAGGCGACGAUCCAUAGCUGGUCUGAGAGGACGACCAGCCACACUGGGACUGAGACACGGCCCAGACUCCUACGGGAGGCAGCAGUAGGGAAUUUUGGACAAUGGGGGCAAGCCUGAUCGAGCCAUGCCGCGUGCGGGAUGAAGGCCUUCGGGUUGUAAACCGCUUUUGUUCGGGAAGAAAACCUGUGGGAGAAUACCCCGGGGGGAUGACGGUACCGGAAGAAUAAGCACCGGCUAACUACGUG
RNAcentral lists this ribosomal RNA (484 nucleotides) under uncultured bacterium. Its description in RNAcentral is "partial 16S ribosomal RNA". It matches the Rfam family "Bacterial small subunit ribosomal RNA", at positions 30 to 507 of the family's 1533-position model. The record is from RNAcentral.